RNAcentral lists this ribosomal RNA (449 nucleotides) under Microbacterium hydrocarbonoxydans. RNAcentral describes it as "bacterial SSU rRNA". It matches the Rfam family "Bacterial small subunit ribosomal RNA", at positions 71 to 535 of the family's 1533-position model. Lineage: Bacteria; Bacillati; Actinomycetota; Actinomycetes; Micrococcales; Microbacteriaceae. The record is from RNAcentral.
GGGACUUUGCUUGCUCUGUGGGUCAGUGGCGACGGGUGAGUACACGUGAGCACCUGCCCCUGACUCUGGGAUAAGCGCUGGAAACGGCGUCUAAUACUGGAUACGAACCAUGAAGGCAUCUUCAGUGGUUGGAAAGAUUUAUUGGUUGGGGAUGGGCUCGCGGCCUAUCAGCUUGUUGGUGAGGUAAUGGCUCACCAAGGCGUCGACGGGUAGCCGGCCUGAGAGGGUGACCGGCCACACUGGGACUGAGACACGGCCCAGACUCCUACGGGAGGCAGCAGUGGGGAAUAUUGCACAAUGGGCGCAAGCCUGAUGCAGCAACGCCGCGUGAGGGAUGACGGCCUUCGGGUUGUAAACCUCUUUUAGCAGGGAAGAAGCGAAAGUGACGGUACCUGCAGAAAAAGCGCCGGCUAACUACGUGCCAGCAGCCGCGGUAAUACGUANGGCGC